GGGGAAGGCAAGGUGAAGGGGCCGGGACAGCCUGCCAGGGUGGGCUCCCCUUCUCAGCCAAGGUCUAAUGGGAGCUGACAACAGCAGCUGUGGGCCUUUGAUCUGCCCUUCAGGGCCCGGCCAUGCUAAGCAGAAGGAAAAGGACUGGCAAUGUGUGUUUGGGUCCCUGCUGCAGGAACUAGAGGCUGGGAGGAAAGUUUGGGCAGGCAAAUCUGGAUGCAUCCUUGGACAUAUUCCAUUAAGAGCGGUGCCACUCAACCUAUGGCGAUUAGAUGGCAGAGCCAGUGAUGAAGACUCUGGAGCCAUACCACCUGGGUUCUAAGCCCAGCUUUAUCUACUAGCUAUGUGACCCUCAGCAAGUCACUUCACUUCUCUGUGCCUUGGUUUCUUCAGCACACGUACGGUUGGGAUUAAAUAAGUGACUACAUGUCAAAUGCUUCUGGCAAAGGGUACAUGCUCUGAGUGUUGGUGAGCAUUGUUAUUAUCAGACAAAGGCCCGAGAGGCAUGAAAUAGUGUCCCUCUUCUCCCAGGGCAUCACAUCCCCUUCGUGAACAAAGACAUUAGUUGAGGCCAGUUUGAACAGAUUAAUGGGGUUCCUUUCAUUCAGCUUCCUAAAGGCAUAAAAUGACCCCUCCUGAGCUGGGGCCCUGCUUGUAAGGAUAACUGUGUGCAAGCCAGUCUUCAGCCAAGAUGCCCUAGGCUGUCCCCCAGAUUCAGCCAGAACUG
This 727-nucleotide long non-coding RNA is filed under the name Homo sapiens (human). RNAcentral's name for it is "HSALNT0283325". Lineage: Eukaryota; Metazoa; Chordata; Mammalia; Primates; Hominidae. The record is from RNAcentral.